RNAcentral lists this ribosomal RNA (682 nucleotides) under unidentified microorganism. Its description in RNAcentral is "bacterial SSU rRNA". It matches the Rfam family "Bacterial small subunit ribosomal RNA", at positions 51 to 747 of the family's 1533-position model. The record is from RNAcentral.
ACACAUGCAGUCGAACGGUGAAGGAGAGCUUGCUCUCCGGAUCAGUGGCGAACGGGUGAGUAACACGUGAGCAAUCUGCCCCUGACUCUGGGAUAACAGUUGGAAACAGCUGCUAAUACCGGAUACGAGCUUCGAAGGCAUCUUCAGAAGCUGGAAAGAACUUCGGUCAGGGAUGAGCUCGCGGCCUAUCAGCUAGUUGGUGAGGUAAUGGCUCACCAAGGCGUCGACGGGUAGCCGGCCUGAGAGGGUGACCGGCCACACUGGGACUGAGACACGGCCCAGACUCCUACGGGAGGCAGCAGUGGGGAAUAUUGCACAAUGGGCGCAAGCCUGAUGCAGCAACGCCGCGUGAGGGACGACGGCCUUCGGGUUGUAAACCUCUUUUAGCAGGGAAGAAGCGAAAGUGACGGUACCUGCAGAAAAAGCGCCGGCUAACUACGUGCCAGCAGCCGCGGUAAUACGUAGGGCGCAAGCGUUAUCCGGAAUUAUUGGGCGUAAAGAGCUCGUAGGCGGUUUGUCGCGUCUGCUGUGAAAACUGGAGGCUCAACCUCCAGCCUGCAGUGGGUACGGGCAGACUAGAGUGCGGUAGGGGAGAUUGGAAUUCCUGGUGUAGCGGUGGAAUGCGCAGAUAUCAGGAGGAACACCGAUGGCGAAGGCAGAUCUCUGGGCCGUAACUGACGCU